This is a long non-coding RNA of Ctenopharyngodon idella (grass carp), 738 nucleotides long. RefSeq lists it as uncharacterized. The record is from RefSeq and is a predicted model, not a curated record. NCBI's taxonomy places the organism in Eukaryota, Metazoa, Chordata, Actinopteri, Cypriniformes, Xenocyprididae. The transcript has 3 exons.
CAUUUCAGGCAAAGCAAAUCUCAAACUAGCCUAUGCUGUGCAUUACAGUGAAGACAGCUCCGAACAUCAUGCAUGCCAAUAAAGACGACCGAGCCAAUCAGAGUAAGUAUAGACUCGUGCAGCCCCGCCAAUUCUGCAGGAUCCAGCCAACCAGGAAGGUUCUUCUCAUUUGGACUAAUGCUACGCAACUCUCUGGUGUCAAAUCCGCCAUUUCGCAAGAACAGCAAUGAACCGGAUUUUCCAACCUUCGCCGUCACUAUCUCUGUGCACGUGGCUGGGUCGAAGUUGGAGGCAACAGAUGGACAAAAUGUUACCAUGCCCUUUAAAACCAAACUGGAGAAAGUUGAUGAAGUGAAAAUCAUCUUUGAAGGAGAAAACAAGGGAAAAAUGUUGUUUGCGCAUUACUGUUUCCGUGAAACUGAUCCCAUCUGUGACAUCAAAUCGGAUCAUCUGCAAGUUACAGGUGGAAAUGUGUUGUUGAUCCUUCUGAAAGUUCACAGCUCCAGAACAGGCCUCUAUAGAGUGCAAACCUUUUUUGGAAAGGACGCGGAUGAGGUGAAUGCCACACUUGUCGUCAACAAAAGACCAUUUUCAUCCAGCGCAGCGCCACCACAAACCUCCCCCCCAAAACCACCAAACUCCUCUGAGCAUCAAGAACUACUAAUUACUGUAGUCAUCAUCAUCUGCAUCAUCAUGAUCAUUGUCUUGGCAUUUCACUACUUCUGGAAUCAAAGGAAG